AGGGAAUCUUCCGCAAUGGACGAAAGUCUGACGGAGCAACGCCGCGUGAGCGAUGAAGGUCUUCGGAUUGUAAAGCUCUGUUGUUAGGGAAGAAUAAGUACGAUAGUAACUGAUCGUACCUUGACGGUACCUAACCAGAAAGCCCCGGCUAACUACGUGCCAGCAGCCGCGGUAAUACGUAGGGGGCAAGCGUUGUCCGGAAUUAUUGGGCGUAAAGCGCGCGCAGGCGGUCCUUUAAGUCUGAUGUGAAAGCCCACGGCUUAACCGUGGAGGGUCAUUGGAAACUGGAGGACUUGAGUGCAGAAGAGGAGAGUGGAAUUCCACGUGUAGCGGUGAAAUGCGUAGAGAUGUGGAGGAACACCAGUGGCGAAGGCGACUCUCUGGUCUGUAACUGACGCUGAGGCGCGAAAGCGUGGGGAGCGAAC
Molecule: ribosomal RNA, 425 nt
Filed under: uncultured bacterium
Lineage: Bacteria
Description: bacterial SSU rRNA
Rfam family: Bacterial small subunit ribosomal RNA
Source: RNAcentral